RNAcentral lists this ribosomal RNA (305 nucleotides) under uncultured bacterium. Its description in RNAcentral is "bacterial SSU rRNA". It matches the Rfam family "Bacterial small subunit ribosomal RNA", at positions 337 to 659 of the family's 1533-position model. The record is from RNAcentral.
ACCUACGGGGCGCAGCAGUCGGGAAUAUUGCGCAAUGGAGGAAACUCUGACGCAGUGACGCCGCGUAUAGGAAGAAGGUUUUCGGAUUGUAAACUAUUGUCGUGAGGGAAGAAGAUGACAGUACCUCAGGAGGAAGCUCCGGCUAACUAUGUGCCAGCAGCCGCGGUAAUACGUAGGGGGCAAGCGUUAUCCGGAUUUACUGGGUGUAAAGGGAGCGUAGACGGUAUGGCAAGUCUGAUGUGAAAACCCGGGGCUCAACCCCGGGACUGCAUUGGAAACUGCCGAACUAGAGUGUCGGAGAGGCA